This 468-nucleotide ribosomal RNA is filed under the name uncultured bacterium. RNAcentral describes it as "partial 16S ribosomal RNA". It matches the Rfam family "Bacterial small subunit ribosomal RNA", at positions 28 to 507 of the family's 1533-position model. The record is from RNAcentral.
GACGAACGCUGGCGGCGUGCUUAACACAUGCAAGUCGAACGGAAAGGCCCUGCUUUUGUGGGGUGCUCGAGUGGCGAACGGGUGAGUAACACGUGAGUAACCUGCCCUUGACUUUGGGAUAACUUCAGGAAACUGGGGCUAAUACCGGAUAGGAGCUCCUGCUGCAUGGUGGGGGUUGGAAAGUUUCGGCGGUUGGGGAUGGACUCGCGGCUUAUCAGCUUGUUGGUGGGGUAGUGGCUUACCAAGGCUUUGACGGGUAGCCGGCCUGAGAGGGUGACCGGGCACAAUGGGACUGAGGGACGGCCCAGACUCCUACGGGAGGCAACAGGGGGGAAUAUUGCACAAUGGGCGGAAGCCUGAUGCAGCAACGCCGCGUGCGGGAUGAAGGCCUUCGGGUUGUAAACCGCUUUCGCCUGUGACGAAGCGUGAGUGACGGUAAUGGGUAAAGAAGCACCGGCUAACUACGUG